UACGUAGGGUGCAAGCGUUAAUCGGAAUCACUGGGCGUAAAGCGCGUGUAGGCGGCCCAUUAAGUCUGAUGUGAAAGCCCGGGGCUCACCCCCGGAAGUGCAUUGGAAACUGAUGGACUCGAGUCCCGGAGAGGAGAGUGGAAUUCCUGGUGUAGCGGUGAAAUGCGUAGAUAUCAGGAGGAACACCGGUGGCGAAGGCGGCUCUCUGGACGGUGACUGACGCUGAGACGCGAAAGCGUGGGGAGCAAACAGG
RNAcentral lists this ribosomal RNA (253 nucleotides) under uncultured bacterium. RNAcentral's name for it is "partial 16S ribosomal RNA". It matches the Rfam family "Bacterial small subunit ribosomal RNA", at positions 524 to 776 of the family's 1533-position model. The record is from RNAcentral.